UUUGCUGGCGACCGGCGCACGGGUGAGUAACACGUAUCCAACCUGCCGAUGACUCGGGGAUAGCCUUUCGAAAGAAAGAUUAAUACCCGAUGGCAUAGUUCUUCCGCAUGGUAGAACUAUUAAAGAAUUUCGGUCAUCGAUGGGGAUGCGUUCCAUUAGGUUGUUGGCGGGGUAACGGCCCACCAAGCCUUCGAUGGAUAGGGGUUCUGAGAGGAAGGUCCCCCACAUUGGAACUGAGACACGGUCCAAACUCCUACGGGAGGGCAGCAUG
RNAcentral lists this ribosomal RNA (271 nucleotides) under uncultured bacterium. RNAcentral's name for it is "partial 16S ribosomal RNA". It matches the Rfam family "Bacterial small subunit ribosomal RNA", at positions 84 to 348 of the family's 1533-position model. The record is from RNAcentral.